RNAcentral lists this ribosomal RNA (33 nucleotides) under Oxalis calachaccensis. RNAcentral describes it as "partial 26S ribosomal RNA". Lineage: Eukaryota; Viridiplantae; Streptophyta; Magnoliopsida; Oxalidales; Oxalidaceae. The record is from RNAcentral.
GCGACCCCAGGUCAGCGGGACUACCCGCUGAGU